Molecule: long non-coding RNA, 1308 nt
Organism: Raphanus sativus (radish)
Lineage: Eukaryota; Viridiplantae; Streptophyta; Magnoliopsida; Brassicales; Brassicaceae
Exons: 5
Source: RefSeq, a predicted model, not a curated record
UUAUUUUGGUCGUAAAUGUGUGGUUUUUGGUCCGGUUUGUUUGUUCUAAUACGAUUGUUGUUAGGUUUGAUUUGGAUAAAACUAUGCGUUUUGUCAUACAUCCAAAAUUAGGGCUCCAUCCUUUUCUUUCUUCCUGACAGAAUUCGAUCCGCCAUAUCUCUUUUCACUUCUGAAAAACUUUUGUUUCUCUUCUCAUCUCUGAACUCGAUCUCCCCGUUAUCUCUUCACCUCCCAUUAGGUUUGAUAUAUAGGUUUUAAUUCGUGAAUCAUUGAUAAUCACAUUAGAGACAGUCACGAUGUCGACGCCUCCGUUACCUUCACGCAAACUCUAUAUAUAUCAACGGCUUAGGGGGAUGAUUGACCCUUGGAACCACUGUCAAUUUAUUAUUUUAUAAAGCGUUGAAAGUCACUCAGAGAUGGCUUACUCCGAUGUUGUUCUUGCGCACUCCCCCUUGACGCUCUCCGCCUCCGUAGAUCUGCCCAGAUCAUGUUGGUCAUCUCCUCCGUUUUUGGACUCGAAAAAUCAAGAAGCAAGGUGAAUUCAUGGAAUCACUCUGCUCCUCUUUCAUGAGAAGAAUUUGGUUGUUGAUAUUUUUGAGGUUGUAAGAGUCUCACGAUUUGAGAUGUUGUUGGGCAAAUUCAAUCUGUCUAAGAUUCGGACCUGAAUGACGCUACAGUUACGAGCCGAGUUGUUGUUUGUUUCACCGAGGGUUGUCGUCUACCUUUCUUUGUGUGAUGAUGAAGCAGCAAUGUUUAGGGGUCUCAUUAACUCAGGUGAUAGGUCACAGUCAGUCAUGGUGGUUACUACUGUGAAUCCCAAAAUCUUCGGAGGUACCCUAUACUUCACGACAGCAACAAAAUUGUAUUUUUAUCCAGCCCUUCAAGCCAUUGCAGAGUUCACAGCCAGGUACAACUCAUUAUGUUUUAACUUUUACGGUUGAGCUAAUAUUCAGUUUUGUGGUUGCUUAAACCAAUGAAGUUCUAACUUUCAAGACCAAUGAAGUUGAAUUUUCUGAGGUAGAAUGUGGGGGGAGGCGUCUAGAACUGCCAGGAACAAGGUUAGAGGUGAAUACAAGGAACCAAGUCCAACUACCUUGGGAGGCAAAAAGAAUAUCCUCAAGCGCCCCUGUGAGUGAAGUUAAAAAAACUCUCCCACCGUCAAGCUAACUCUGUUAUUGUUUCAUUAACAUUUAUCUAACGUAUUAUGCAUUUCCUAUUUUAGACUUUACAGUUAUUUUUCUAUUUGAAUGGUUUUGUUUUAUUUAUAGACUUCUGUUUUUUAUCUUUAAAGAAAAAGGGUGGACGUUA